CCUGCCUCAGCCUCCCAAAGUGUUGGGAUUAUACUUUGUAAACCCAAAGUGUGAGCCAUCACGUCCAGCCAAAAAGUAUUCAGUAUUUUGAGAGUAUAAGUUGGAUAUGUGAUGUGAGAGAAAGAGAGGAAUCAGGGAUGACUUUGAGAUUUCUGGCUUAAGCAACUGGCAAGUAGGAGUUUUUAAUCAACUGAGGUGGGGAAGACUGUGGGUAGACUACGUUUUGGGUGAGAAGAGCAGGAUUCAGUCAGGGGAACCGAAGGGCAGGCUCUCUGUACCAGCACUCAGUAUGCAGUUUCAUAUCAAGUCAAAGGCUGUCUGAGGCCAACACUGGUCUUUGAGAGUGGGAAGUCCAAGCAAGCAGAAGAUGACAAGUAGGUGUCACUGGCUCUAAUGGAAGAUGGGCAAGAGAAGACCUCUACAUUCUAGAAAGUGAACUUGCUAUGUGGUUUGCCUGGCAACGGACAAGGUGAGGUAAAUAAUGCCACAGAAGCUCCAGGAUGAAGGAUUACAAGAGGUUUGUAAGAAAACUCAAGGGGUACGGUGGUUCAGAAAUGGACAUAACAGCCUAGAGGAAGACCUGGGAGAAGCCCUUGAAUAACCAUUGGUCCAUUGUGCAUCUAGGGUCCUUAACAAAAAGAUAAAAGACAAGUGUAUAAUAUGUUGGAAAAAAAUUUCCCAUUCCCACACAGGCUUGUCAUAUACCAGGAGGUAUCAACAAUCACCAAGCUCUCGUGCAUUAACUACCUGUUUCACCUCCAUUGAGGGAUAUGUCUCAUGUCAAUAAUUGGAUCUAUGAAACCUGGCUGUGAUAAAUACCAAGGAAUUCUAUGCCAGUUCACAGCAGUAAGAGUGCAGAAGUGCCAGAAGCUGACGUGCCCAAGAACUGAGCCCAAGUCUUAGCACAGAUCUUCAUCCAUCACAUAACUGUAAUUUAUCACCCAGACUGAGACAUUUCUGAGAGUGAAAGGGAGCUUCAUGAGUAAUUAUUCCAGAACAACUGGAGUAUAUUGGGACUGUCUUAGAUAAACUAAAAGGCAAAGUCAUUCUACUCCCAUUCUACUCCCAAACUUCUAGACUCUGGCUGAUUCUCUCCACAGACCUCUUCCCAAUGAAAAUAUCCUCCUCUUUGUAGCAUAUUUGUACUUCUACUGAAUGAUAAAUGAUUAUAUGCAUUCCUUGUUUUUAUGUAAGAAAAUACAGUUUCCUGAUAUUGUUUGAGAAUUUUAGAAAUUAUGUCCUCAUUUUGGUAUUUUAAUCCAUUAAUGGGAAAUUUCAGACUGGAAGAGAGAAAACCAGUAACCCUAGGGAGAUAUUUUUAUCCAGACCAG
RNAcentral lists this long non-coding RNA (1331 nucleotides) under Pan troglodytes (chimpanzee). RNAcentral's name for it is "lncRNA (ENSPTRG00000053507.1)". Lineage: Eukaryota; Metazoa; Chordata; Mammalia; Primates; Hominidae. The record is from RNAcentral.